CGUACACUCCUACGGGAGGCAGCAGUGGGGAAUAUUGCACAAUGGGCGCAAGCCUGAUGCAGCCAUGCCGCGUGUAUGAAGAAGGCCUUCGGGUUGUAAAGUACUUUCAGCGGGGAGGAAGGCAAUACGGUUAAUAACCGUGUUGAUUGACGUUACCCGCAGAAGAAGCACCGGCUAACUCCGUGCCAGCAGCCGCGGUAAUACGGAGGGUGCAAGCGUUAAUCGGAAUUACUGGGCGUAAAGCGCACGCAGGCGGUCUGUCAAGUCGGAUGUGAAAUCCCCGGGCUCAACCUGGGAACUGCAUUCGAAACUGGCAGGCUUGAGUCUUGUAGAGGGGGGUAGAAUUCCAGGUGUAGCGGUGAAAUGCGUAGAGAUCUGGAGGAAUACCGGUGGCGAAGGCGGCCCCCUGGACAAAGACUGACGCUCAGGUGCGAAAGCGUGGGGAGCAAACAGGAUUAGAAACCCCGGUAGUCCCAUGA
Molecule: ribosomal RNA, 479 nt
Filed under: uncultured organism
Description: partial 16S ribosomal RNA
Rfam family: Bacterial small subunit ribosomal RNA
Source: RNAcentral